RNAcentral lists this ribosomal RNA (464 nucleotides) under uncultured bacterium. RNAcentral describes it as "partial 16S ribosomal RNA". It matches the Rfam family "Bacterial small subunit ribosomal RNA", at positions 339 to 795 of the family's 1533-position model. The record is from RNAcentral.
CUACGGGACGCACCAGUGGGGAAUAUUGCACAAUGGGCGCAAGCCUGAUGCAGCCAUGCCGCGUGUAUGAAGAAGGCCUUCGGGUUGUAAAGUACUUUCAGCGGGGAGGAAGGGAGUAAAGUUAAUACCUUUGCUCAUUGACGUUACCCGCAGAAGAAGCACCGGCUAACUCCGUGCCAGCAGCCGCGGUAAUACGGAGGGUGCAAGCGUUAAUCGGAAUUACUGGGCGUAAAGCGCACGCAGGCGGUUUGUUAAGUCAGAUGUGAAAUCCCGGGGCUCAACCUGGGAACUGCAUCUGAUACUGGCAAGCUUGCGUCUCGUAGAGGGGGGUAGAAUUCCAGGUGUAGCGGUGAAAUGCGUAGAGAUCUGGAGGAAUACCGGUGGCGAAGGCGGCCCCCUGGACGAAGACUGACGCUCAGGUGCGAAAGCGUGGGGAGCAAACAGGAUUAGAUACCCUCGUAUUC